RNAcentral lists this long non-coding RNA (260 nucleotides) under Nicotiana benthamiana. Its description in RNAcentral is "long non-coding RNA (NBEN_LNC001414)". Lineage: Eukaryota; Viridiplantae; Streptophyta; Magnoliopsida; Solanales; Solanaceae. The record is from RNAcentral.
AAAGACUCGCCUCUGUCCGGCGACAAAACCCCAGAAAUUUCUCCGGCCAACUCUGACACACACGCCCCCACGCGCCGCCAACACCUUCAGCGCGUGGCACCCUUUCCGGCCAGAAUUUCCAGUGACUCCUUCAGGACAGUUUGCUCGCCCUUGAAUUUCGACCCUACCCAUCCUAUUUUCGUUCGAUUCCGACAACCUUGAGUUUUUUCCGGCGACUUUACUGACUUUUCCGGCAGCUACAGUACUUUCCGGCCAGAAUU